UUCCAGACUCCUACGGGAGGCAGCAGUGGGGAAUAUUGGACAAUGGGGGGAACCCUGAUCCAGCGACGCCGCGUGAGUGAAGAAGUAUUUCGGUAUGUAAAGCUCUAUCAGCAGGGAAGAAAGAAAUGACGGUACCUGACUAAGAAGCCCCGGCUAACUACGUGCCAGCAGCCGCGGUAAUACGUAGGGGGCAAGCGUUAUCCGGAUUUACUGGGUGUAAAGGGAGCGUAGACGGUUACGCAAGUCUGGAGUGAAAGGCGGGGGCCCAACCCCCGGACUGCUUUGGAAACUGUAUAACUGGAGUGCAGGAGAGGUAAGUGGAAUUCCUAGUGUAGCGGUGAAAUGCGUAGAUAUUAGGAGGAACACCAGUGGCGAAGGCGGCUUGCUGGGCUUUUACUGACGCUGAGGCUCGAAAGCGUGGGGAGCAAACAGGAUUAGAUACCCUUGUA
This 449-nucleotide ribosomal RNA is filed under the name uncultured bacterium. Its description in RNAcentral is "bacterial SSU rRNA". It matches the Rfam family "Bacterial small subunit ribosomal RNA", at positions 329 to 792 of the family's 1533-position model. The record is from RNAcentral.